This 315-nucleotide long non-coding RNA is filed under the name Lathyrus oleraceus (garden pea). Its description in RNAcentral is "Pisum sativum (pea) long non-coding RNA (PSAT_LNC034437)". The record is from RNAcentral. Lineage: Eukaryota; Viridiplantae; Streptophyta; Magnoliopsida; Fabales; Fabaceae.
AGAAGGUCCGUGUGAAGGUUCGUGAGAGGGAUGGAGAUGAAUUUCUCCUAAAAGUGUGUGGGAGAAAAUUUUUUAUGCUUUUUUUUCUUCAUUUUUUUUCCUUUAAUAGUUAAUGAGAGAGGGCCAGUGAAUGGAGAAAAAAGACUUUGAAAAGAGAGGGUUCUCCCUCCACAUAGCUUGUUACAAGAGGAUAAGAGAGAGCUCUCUUCCUAUAAACUGACACAUGGUUUUAUGGUCCGGAUCCCAUGGACUCCCCUUUCCUCAAAUUCCCCACACAACAAUAUGAGGGAUAUUAUUACAAAUAUUUUACAAAUA